AACAAUGCCAGCUACUCCACAAGGACAACCAAUGCCAGCAAACUCAAGAAAUCUCUCACCUACACACUACACACACAAAUCUAACAGAUCAAGAGUGCCAAUUGUCCAAAAUACCCACGUCUGGAAAGCUAAACUAUACUACCAUUCUGAUAAAUACAGGGGGCCAUUUGAAGUAUUAACCUUUCAGGCUUAGGUGAGGAUAGGAUACCUUUCUUCAGAAGUAAGGCAUGCACAAAAGGGAAAAUCAAGCAAUUCAUCAAUUUAACUCCCAUUCCCUCCAUGACAUCUUUUCAGUGGAAGCACAAGACCAGAAAAGAGAAUGCCAGUAGGCGAUGAUGACUCCAGAUUUGCCUUCCUCAGGAGAGAACUAGAAGCAGCUCUGGCAAGGAACAAUUCCAUGGAGAGAGAGAAUCAGGAACUUCAACAAGAAGUGAGCCGUCUUAAAGCACAAGUAAGUGCCCUCAAAGCCCACGAUAAUGAAAGGAAAUCGAUGCUCUGGAAGAAGUUGCAGUACUCCUUGGGUGGCACAAAUACAGAGAGGUUUCAGCAGAAACCAACAUCUCCACUUGAGAUUGCAGAAAAAGGUCAAGCAGUGGAGAGUUUGAAGCCAGAAGAAGAUUUGGGAAAACCAGAAAGAGUACCAAAACCACCGCCAGCAAAGCCAACUACUUCUGCUACUAUACAUAGAGUACAUUCAGCACCAGCAACAGCAACAGCAACAGCACCGCCACCUCCGCCGCCACCGCCACCGUCAAACUUGAUAAUUCGAUCAAAAGCAGUGCGUCGCGUGCCAGAGGUGAUGGAGUUCUACCGUCUGCUUACAAAGAGAGAUUCCCAAAAGGAGAACAAAACCAGUCCAACAGGAACACCUGCAACCAUAAAUCCAAGGAACAUGAUCGGAGAAAUUGAGAACCGAUCAACAUAUGUAUUGGCUAUAAAGUCAGAUGUGGAAACACAAGGCGAAUUCAUCAAUUCUUUAAUAAGGGCAGUGGAGACUGCAGAAUUCACAGAUAUGUCUGAUGUGGAAGCAUUCAUCAAGUGGCUGGACGGAGAACUAUCCUGCCUGGUUGAUGAGAGGGCUGUGUUGAAGCAUUUCCCACAGUGGCCAGAGAAAAAAGCUGAUGCAUUGCGAGAAGCUGCUUUCAGCUACCGGGACCUGAAGAACCUUGAAUCUGAAGUUUCAUCAUUCAAGGAUAACCCAAAACAGCUUUUUAUCCAGUCCCUGAGAAGGAUACAAGCAUUGCAAGACAGAUUGGAAAGAAGUGUUAACAACAUUGAAAGAAUGAGGGACGGUACCAGCAAGAGAUACAGGGAAUUACACAUCCCCUGGGAAUGGAUGCUGGACACCGGUGUCGUCGGUCAGGUAGGUGAUGAAAUUAAGUUCACUGACAUUGGCAAAGGCAUACAUGAGGAGAGUAACUAAAGAACUGAAGUACAAUGAAUCCUCACAAGAACAGGACCUCCUGCUUCAAGGCGUUCGAUUUGCUUUUCGAGUACACCAGUUUGCAGGUGGGUUCGAUGCAGAAACCAAGCAUGCAUUUGAAGAACUAAGGAAUGUUGGAACAGGUCAACAGAAACAAUAGCAUGCUGUUAAAAUACACCAGAUCUAACAGAAUAUAGAGUGAAAGAAUGGCAUACUGCAACUAUUAGCAGAAAGGGUAAUUGUAAAAUAGUUUAUCAGAGAAGAUUUUACAAAUGCACAUAUCUGGUAAAAAUUAUGGUCAAGUUUCUUAUGUUAUGAACUUGACCCACAACAAAUAUAUUCUUACAAAUUGAGGCACACAUCUGAAGUAGCCUAAAUCUUCAAUAUCCUCAUUACAAGAUA
Camellia sinensis is the source of this 1825-nucleotide RNA transcript. It is a transcript of the gene named CHUP1-like protein, with no coding region annotated. NCBI's taxonomy places the organism in Eukaryota, Viridiplantae, Streptophyta, Magnoliopsida, Ericales, Theaceae. The record is from RefSeq and is a predicted model, not a curated record.